GGAGGAAAAGAAACCAACAGGGAUUGCCUCAGUAACGGCGAGUGAAGCGGCAACAGCUCAAAUUUGAAAUCUGGCCCUAGGCCCGAGUUGUAAUUUGCAGAGGAUGCUUUUGGUGCGGUGCCUUCCAAGUUCCCUAGAACGGGACGCCAGAGAGGGUGAGAGCCCCGUACAGUUGGACACCAAGCCUUUGUAAAGCUCCUUCGACGAGUCGAGUAGUUUGGGAAUGCUGCUCAAAAUGGGAGGUAUAUUUCUUCUAAAGCUAAAUACCGGCCAGAGACCGAUAGCGCACAAGUAGAGUGAUCGAAAGAUGAAAAGCACUUUGAAAAGAGGGUUAAACAGCACGUGAAAUUGUUAAAAGGGAAGCGCUUGUGACCAGACUUGCGUCCGGUGAAUCACCCAGCUCUCGCGGCUGGGGCACUUCGCCGGCUCAGGCCAGCAUCAGCUCGCUGUCGGGGACAAAAGCUUCAGGAACGUAGCUCUCUUCGGGGAGUGUUAUAGCCUGUUGCAUAAUACCCUUCGGCGGGCUGAGGUACGCGCUCCGCAAGGAUGCUGGCAUAAUGGUCAUCAGCGACCCGUCU
Molecule: small RNA, 578 nt
Filed under: Colletotrichum gloeosporioides
Lineage: Eukaryota; Fungi; Ascomycota; Sordariomycetes; Glomerellales; Glomerellaceae
Description: eukaryotic LSU rRNA
Rfam family: Eukaryotic large subunit ribosomal RNA
Source: RNAcentral